UAUCAACUCGCCCACUCUCAAACACUAUGCCAUUCGGCAAUUAAACGUGAUGAUAUAAUCACUAGACUGAAUGUCAGAAAGUGGCAGUACCGUUCAGCUUAAAUGACGUAUGGAAUUGUGAGGUCCCUAUAAAAAACAAGCAAUCAUGUGGAAAACGGCAAUGACAGAUCGACGUUUCGCGCUUACCUUUUAGACCACCUUAUUAUUACAUGCCAACUAUAUAAUUUGUACAGAGACACAACAUAAACAGCCGUACCUUGAACAAUAAUGGUUUAAUUUGAUGAAUUGUUACUUGGAUUUUGGCACUCAUACC
RNAcentral lists this long non-coding RNA (313 nucleotides) under Mytilus galloprovincialis (Mediterranean mussel). The record is from RNAcentral. Lineage: Eukaryota; Metazoa; Mollusca; Bivalvia; Mytilida; Mytilidae.